Molecule: long non-coding RNA, 1937 nt
Filed under: Canis lupus familiaris (dog)
Lineage: Eukaryota; Metazoa; Chordata; Mammalia; Carnivora; Canidae
Description: lncRNA (ENSCAFG00030021183.1)
Source: RNAcentral
GCCCUCCCUUGCUCCAGUAGUAGGUGGUGUCCACUGCUCUCCCAGAACCAUGUAGGGCCCUCGGCUUUCACUGGAACCACCCUCACCUCCUGGGCCCGAGCAGAUGCCCUCUUGGUCCCCGCCCCCUCCCGCUGCUCACCAUCCAGCCUCCCUGACCCAUCACGGGACACCGGACAUAAUGCUGUACGUUCCUGGUCCUCCCAGGCUUGGCCGCCAGCUUCCGCAGAGCCCAGAGCACCUCCGUCCCCCCGCUGCUCCUGCCUACGGGCUCAGCCCUGCAGAGCUCCUUCCUCCUUGGGCUGUGGGGGGGAAGCUCGUCUGCCUGAAUGCCCUCCCCAAGUCUCCGAGGGCCUGUGUCCUGUCAUUAGGUCUCACCCGAAGCCACCGCCUGGAGACUACACCCUGAACCCCACUCCCACUCGGCCUCCGUGCCUCCCCCCCACUCUGACACUCUCUUGUGCCAAGCUGAUAGCUUCCCUCUCUGUUCCUUUACUCCCUACGCACCCCACCCCCCCCCACUGGAAUAUGAGCUUUUCCAGGAGUGGGUCUCACUCGCUGCUGGUGCCCCCCGAGGCCCUGAGCAAGCCCAUAAUGUCAUUGAGUGUCCCCCGGACACCCACUCGCUGCUGGGCUUCCUCCAGAGCCGCCCAUCCCAGCCCCCGCACACUUGCCAUGGCCCCCCACUUUCUCUCCUUUGUCUGCUCAGACUCUUACCAGCUCGAGGUCCAUCCGCCUUGCUGCUCCCAGGCUGCACGUUCAAGCCAGCAUGGACUAGUGGCCUGGGGGCCACCACAACCACCAGCACCCCUGGAGGGCUACAACCACGGGGAAUGGUUCUCCCCCAGCUCCGGAGGCUGCAGUCUGAGAUCCAGAGGCUCCAGGGGAGGGUCCCUCCUGCCUCCCCCAGCUCCCAGUGGCCCCAGCAUUCCUCGGCUUGGGGCAGCAUUGCGGAGUAUCACCCUGUCCUCGCUUGGCCCCCUCUCUUCACCUCUGUACCUGCGAAGCUUCACCUCACCAUCCUCCUCCUGAGGGCAGCGCCCCAUCUGUCUGUCUCCUUGUCCUCCGUGCCUGGCACAGGUGAAUGCCCCAUAAAUGCCUCUAUUUAGCUUCAGGGAAUCCCAGGCAGGGGGCAGGAUGGUGAGCAGAAGUCCCCGCUGCCCCCCCACCCCAGUCCCAAACUAUAAGAACCCGGGGUGGAGAUAUUUAUAGACUGGACCGAGCAGCCCCCACCGGCAGCAUCCACAGGCUCCCAUGUCUGUCCGAGAGCUCAACAUCCAGGCUCCCUGAAGGACCUGCAUGACGGCGUGUGGCAGGUGCCCAGAGCCCCACUGCGGGGACUGCAAGCAGGCCCGGGAGCACAGAGGUAAGUUGGCACCCAGAGGUGACUCGUGAGUGGGCACCGGCCCCUCAUCAGGCUGGCAGCUCAUUAGGGCAGCUCAGGAGGCAGCCAAGGGGCUGAGUUCACGGCAGCAGGCGGGGCGCACGCUUGGAUCUGACUCAUCAUUAUUUCACAGAGGUUCAGAAAUGAGGAGGAGGUGGACGCGUGACCCACUUCUGCUGGCUCACGGGCACCUCGCUGGCAGGAGUGCCAUGGCAACCAGCUGCACGGGCUUAAUUACACCAGCCCACGGCACUUCCUCACCAAGAUUAACGGGGAGCAGACACCCUCACCUCUCCCAGCCGGGGAGGAGAAGGAACGGUUGGCUCUGCUUACGAGAGGAGCCCCCGUGCACCCCUCCUCCACGGGCACCUGUGUCCACACUCCUGCCGGGAGCCGGGGGCAGAUGGGGCCGUGGAUCAGAGCUACUCACCCCCUCCUCUGGUCCCCAAGGGUCCCAUGCCAGCUGGCCCUCUGGCCGGGUGACAGCCACCAGGUCUGGCCAGGCUGGCCUUCCUCCUGCUGGUGUCCACCUGCCCACCCGGCCUCUGGCCCGGCC